RNAcentral lists this ribosomal RNA (256 nucleotides) under uncultured archaeon. Its description in RNAcentral is "partial 16S ribosomal RNA". It matches the Rfam family "Archaeal small subunit ribosomal RNA", at positions 726 to 982 of the family's 1478-position model. The record is from RNAcentral.
ACAUUAGAUACCCGCGUAGUCCAGGGUGUAAACGCUGCAGACUUGGUGUUGGAAGCCCUUUUGGGGGCAUUCAGUGCCGGAGAGAAGUUGUUAAGUCUGCUACUUGGGAGUACGUCCGCAAGGAUGAAACUUAAAGGAAUUGGCGGGGGAGCACCGCAACGGGAGGAGCGUGCGGUUUAAUUGGAUUCAACACCGUAAACUCACCAGGGAAGACUGUUACAUGAAGGCCGAGAUGAAGACUCUGCUAGAUUUUCAG